Molecule: ribosomal RNA, 468 nt
Filed under: uncultured bacterium
Lineage: Bacteria
Description: partial 16S ribosomal RNA
Rfam family: Bacterial small subunit ribosomal RNA
Source: RNAcentral
GACGAACGCUGGCGGCGUGCUUAACACAUGCAAGUCGAACGAAAAGGCCCUGCUUUUGUGGGGUGCUCGAGUGGCGAACGGGUGAGUAACACGUGAGUAACCUGCCCUUGACUUUGGGAUAACUUCAGGAAACUGGGGCUAAUACCGGAUAGGAGCUCCUGCUGCAGGGUGGGGGUUGGAAAGUUUCGGCGGUUGGGGAUGGACUCGCGGCUUAUCAGCUUGUUGGUGGGGUAGUGGCUUACCAAGGCUUUGACGGGUAGCCGGCCUGAGAGGGUGACCGGCCACAUUGGGACUGAGAUACGGCCCAGACUCCUACGGGAGGCAGCAGUGGGGAAUAUUGCACAAUGGGCGGAAGCCGGAUGCAGCAACGCCGCGUGCGGGAUGACGUCCUUCGGGUUGUAAACCGCUUUCGCCUGUGACGAAGCGUGAGUGACGGUAAUGGGUAAAGAAGCACCGGCUAACUACGUG